AGCGUCAUUUCAACCCUCAAGCCCUGCUUGGCGUUGGGGAUCAGCCGCGAGGCUGGCCCUGAAAACUAGUGGCGGUCCCGCCGUAGCUUCCUCUGCGUAGUAGCACAACCUCGCAUCGGAAAGCGGCGCGGCCCAGCCGUUAAAAACCCCAAAUUCUGAAGUUUGACCUCGGAUCAGGUAGGAAUACCCGCUGAACUUAA
RNAcentral lists this unclassified non-coding RNA (200 nucleotides) under soil metagenome. RNAcentral describes it as "partial contains internal transcribed spacer 2 and large subunit ribosomal RNA". The record is from RNAcentral.